This 465-nucleotide ribosomal RNA is filed under the name uncultured bacterium. RNAcentral's name for it is "bacterial SSU rRNA". It matches the Rfam family "Bacterial small subunit ribosomal RNA", at positions 32 to 524 of the family's 1533-position model. The record is from RNAcentral.
AAUCAACGCUGGCGGCGUGCCUAACACAUGCAAGUCGAACGGGAAAACGGGGGCAACUCCGUGAGUAUAGUGGCGUACGGGUGAGUAACACGUGACUACCUACCUUUGAGUGGGGGAUAACCCCGGGAAACCGGGGCUAAUACCGCAUAACAUCGCAAGAUCAAAGAAGCAAUUCGCUUAAAGAGGGGGUCGCGGCUGAUUAGCUAGUUGGUAGGGUAAUGGCCUACCAAGGCGAUGAUCGGUAGCCGGCCUGAGAGGGCGCACGGCCACACUGGAACUGAAACACGGUCCAGACUCCUACGGGAGGCAGCAGUGGGGAAUUUUGCGCAAUGGGGGAAACCCUGACGCAGCAACGCCGCGUGGAGGAUGAAGUCCCUUGGGACGUAAACUCCUUUCGACCGGGACGAUUAUGACGGUACCGGUGGAAGAAGCCCCGGCUAACUUCGUGCCAGCAGCCGCUGUAAC